AAAAACAUGUCUUUUAGAUUAUAAUUUAAAGUCUAACCUGCCCACUGAUUUAAUUAUUUAAAGGCCGCAGUAUUUUGACUGUGCAAAGGUAGCAUAAUCAUUUGUCUUUUAAUUGAAGGCUGGAAUGAAUGGUUGAAUGAAGUAUUAACUGUCUCAUUUUUAUAAAUUAAGAAUUUAGCUUUUUAAUCAAAAGGUUUAAAUGAAAUUAAAAGACGAGAAGACCCUAUAGAUUUUUAUAUUAUAUUAUUAUAAUUUUAUUAAGUAAUAAAUUUUAGAAUUAUAUAAUUUAAUAUUUGAUUGGGGUGAUUAAAAAAUUUAAUAAACUUUUUUUUUAUUUAAACAUUAAUAUAUGAAUUAUUGAUCCAAUAAUAUUGAUUAAAAGAUUAAAUUACCUUAGGGAUAACAGCGUAAUUUUUUUAGAGAGUUCUUAUCGAUAAAAAAGAUUGCGACCUCGAUGUUGAAUUAAAGGUUAUUUUUAAAUGCAGAAGUUUAAAGUUUAGGUCUGUUCGACCUUUGAAUCUUUACAUGAUCUGA
RNAcentral lists this ribosomal RNA (534 nucleotides) under Hemerobius stigma. Its description in RNAcentral is "partial 16S ribosomal RNA". The stretch from base 399 to 534 matches the Rfam family "Archaeal large subunit ribosomal RNA", at positions 2542 to 2677 of the family's 2987-position model. The record is from RNAcentral. Lineage: Eukaryota; Metazoa; Arthropoda; Insecta; Neuroptera; Hemerobiidae.